AUUAAAAAGAAAGAGAAGAAAAAAUAAGAAGAAAUGAAUAGAAUCUUCUUCUUCAUUUUGAUUGUAUCAUUUUGAUUAUAUUGAGCAUGGUGAAAUGGGAUUGCUUAAUUUAAAAACUCAGGAUGCGUUCCCAAGCGAUUUGAGACACAAAUGUUGCGCAAUUUGGAACGCAAGAUCUGGAUGGCGGAACCCAGGUGGUUAGGAGAGUCUGGUAACUAUGAUUAGAAUAUUUGGUCCUGAGCACGUUCUUAGUUGUGGUUUCUGGGCAGGACUAGGAUCUGGGCAUUGCUCAAGUCCAGGUUCUGGUCAUAAUUCUGGGCAUAACUCAAUAGGUGGUGAUAUGUCAGGACAGUUAUUUUGGCAAAACAGUAGAUGUAGCCCUGAGUGUUCUCCUAUACCUAGCCCCAGAAUGACAAGUCCUGGUCCCAGCUCCAGAAUACACAGUGGUGCUGUUACCCCUCUGCAUCCAAGAGCUGGAGGCACUAACAUAGAGUCACCUACAGGCCGGUCUGAUGACGGAAAGCAAAAAAGUCACCGGUUGCCCCUGCCGCCAAUAACAAUAUCUAAUACCUGUCCCUUUUCUCCUGCAUACUCAACUGCAACAUCUCCUUCAGUGCCCCGAAGUCCUAAUAGGGCAGAAAAUCCAUUAAGCCCUGGUUCACGUUGGAAGAAGGGUCGCCUGUUAGGGAGAGGCACAUUUGGACAUGUGUAUCUAGGGUUUAACAGUGAAAGUGGUGAGAUGUGUGCAAUGAAGGAGGUAACCUUGUUCGCUGAUGAUCCAAGAUCAAAGGAAAGCGCACAACAGCUGGGACAAGUAAGUUUGGUUUACUAGUUUCAUGGGCAAUUUAUUGAUUAAAAGCUAUGUUCCUUUGAAGUAUUUAAAAUGUAGAUUCAGAAUCUCUCUCUUUUUUUUCUAUGAGGAAAGUUUCUUAUGAUUGAUGAUAUUUUCAGGAAAUUGCACUGCUAAGUCGCUUACGACAUCCUAAUAUAGUACAAUAUUAUGGAUCUGAAACGGUAGGUGCUUUACCAUUGUUAAGGACUCAAGGACAUUACUUUUUAAAGGUUGAUGUAGUUUGUUUUAAUAUUGUUGUGUUUUGCAAAUGAAUGUGUUACUGAUUAAUAUUCUUUCUUAUUUGUUUUACAAUAUUGCACAAAAAAUUUUGUGACUGCUUAGAGGUUGCAACAAUUUGAAAGCUAAUCGCUUUUGUAAUAAUCUUAUGGGAUUUAGUGUUUAUUAAUGUGUAUGACUGUGUCAUGCCAGUCUAUAUUUUGUUUGCAUGAGAAUUGCUAGAUAAAUUGAUUAGCAGUCAUUCAUUUAGGUUUUGUUAACUCAAU
RNAcentral lists this unclassified non-coding RNA (1335 nucleotides) under Hevea brasiliensis (rubber tree). Lineage: Eukaryota; Viridiplantae; Streptophyta; Magnoliopsida; Malpighiales; Euphorbiaceae. The record is from RNAcentral.